UACGUAGGGUGCGAGCGUUAAUCGGAAUUACUGGGCGUAAAGCGUGCGCAGGCGGUCUGUUAAGACCGAUGUGAAAUCCCCGGGCUUAACCUGGGAACUGCAUUGGUGACUGGCAGGCUUUGAGUGUGGCAGAGGGAGGUAGAAUUCCACGUGUAGCAGUGAAAUGCGUAGAGAUGUGGAGGAAUACCGAUGGCGAAGGCAGCCCCCUGGGAUAACACUGACGCUCAUGCACGAAAGCGUGGGGAGCAAACAGG
This 254-nucleotide ribosomal RNA is filed under the name uncultured bacterium. RNAcentral describes it as "partial 16S ribosomal RNA". It matches the Rfam family "Bacterial small subunit ribosomal RNA", at positions 524 to 776 of the family's 1533-position model. The record is from RNAcentral.